This is a long non-coding RNA of Engraulis encrasicolus (European anchovy), 633 nucleotides long. RefSeq lists it as uncharacterized. NCBI's taxonomy places the organism in Eukaryota, Metazoa, Chordata, Actinopteri, Clupeiformes, Engraulidae. The transcript has 5 exons. The record is from RefSeq and is a predicted model, not a curated record.
UGAUGUGUUUGGAAUUGAAGUUCACUUUUGUAAACAACUCGGUAGGGAAUGUUUAAAAAAAGGAUGGAUGUCUUCUUCUGUUUUAUCCCGUUUUGUGCCGACAAACAGGAAAGUAAUGAUGACACAGGGGGAGAAGAAUACAAAAUUUGCCAAGAAUCUACACAGACUGCCCGACCUCCGUUGUGCCAGGAGAAGAGAACUCCUGUGCAGUCUCCGAAUAGGCCUGCAGAAAUGAAGAAGGUGGAAGACAUUUUAAACCAUAAUUUUGAAAAAGUAGCUCUCAUUCGUAAGGACAUUGAGCGAGUUCGACACAGCCAUGACUUUGCCAUGUUGUGCGGCCGUGGAGACCAAAGCCCCUCCCAAGCCAAGCAAGCACAUGAAGUGCAAAGAGUGGAGGCCAAACUUGAGGACCUAGAGAGGGACAUGUUAUUGUACAGAAUAAGACUGGAUGCAAUGCGCAGGAGCUCCUCAAAGUAGCGGUAAGAAGAUGAGAUGUCAGAUAGACAGACAACAGACAGACAGGCAGGCAGAUGAGAGAUGUCCCAACAUACUGUACAGUGCACUUACUGUAGCACAGUGAUGACCAAUUUUCAUCUAUUUGUUUUAUUUUUAAUGAAAAGAAUAAAAAGAUAA